UGAGGGGCUCUACUGCCAUCUAACGGUCAACUUAAAAUACUCACAUCCGUGUUGUAUUUUCCUGCAUGUCCAUCUCGACUACGGGCAUACAUUUGUUAGGUGUCAACUAUGACCGACCGACAGAGGGAACUGCCGUCUUGGAUGUCGCUAAAGGAGAAGGCGAAACCAAAUCAGGCAAUGACGAACAUUAGAAAGGUUUCACGAACGGUAUAUUGCAUGAACGAGAAGGAGCUUGUUGAAGCAGCGAUUGCAUUUAUUAGCCAUGGGGCAAGUGACGCUUUUCUUUACAACCACUAGGUCGCGCCAUUCUAAUUGAAUGGAGUUUAAACCAAAGGUAUUACACAUUUUAAAAACAAAACAACUUCUCACAUAUUGAAAUGUUAUUACUUUUUUGCCCCGGGUGACAGGAGGUGAAUGGAGACAGAAGGCUGGCAAGCGCUAUGAGAAUCCAGGACUGUUCUAAAGAAAUAGAAGAGACUUUGGGUGAAUCCUCUAGCUCCUAUAAUCAGGACAGAACCUACAUUUCAGAGACCGACAUGGACACUGUAGAAGAUGCACAGACAUUAUCCCCCCACCUAUAUUUCUCUGGACAACAGUCUGAAGGUCAAAGACAACAGUUUGAAGGUCAAAGGUCAUUACAGGCUCGAGACUCUCAGAGUCCGGUUGCACCUGAAACAGGCCCCACAGUGGUUGCUGAGUCUCCGCCCACUGAAGUCGAAGAGGACGACUCGUUCAAGCUUGUAAGGGAAAUCUUCUUCACAAAGGAUUAAACUCUAUUCCAGGACACGCCUCAGUUCUUGCCUAUUACUGUUAUAACCCUUAUCAACUUAAAAUGAUUUGGUAAUUGGUAACCCUCAUUAGAAACAUAGUGAACUACGUUGUUACUCUCCAGAACAUCUGGGGUGUGUUCUUUUGAGUUUCCUGUUAAUUGCGAUGGAAUGGGACCAUGGCACUCUAGACUUCCAUGUUUGUACCGAAGUCCAAAUAUAGAGAUAACAAGCAAUGGCACUUUAGCUAAAAUGUAAUUAUUUUAUUUGUAUGAAAGCCAUAAAAGAUUAAAGAUUGUAAAAGCAUAGGGUGGUCACUGUCAAACACUGGUAUACAUAAUGCCAUAAUUAUUUUUUAAUUAACAGUAUUGUAUCAUAACAGUUUGAAAGGAGCAGCGAUUUUGUAAGAAAUAUCUGUGCAAAAAUAUAAUUUCAUGAGGUUGAAACGAGAAUACAAUCAUCAACACUGGUGGAAAGCAUGCUUUUGUUGUUGGUGAUCGAGCUUCCUCCACAACACAUAACUCAGAUACGUUGUAACGGCCAACUCAGCGGUUACUAAAACACAGCAGUAGUAGUACACGGUCAUAGCUGAUGGACUGGCAUAGGCCCAGUGGAGUCCGACAAACCAGACCAAGCCCAGUAGGCUGAGGGCGCUGGCGGCAGCCUGGCACCACAUGCUGAGCCGCAGCACGCUGGAGCCCGCACCGUCUGAUAGCAGCGAGCUCAGCAGAGCAAAGGGCACAAGCACCACAGGGACGUAAAGACAAAGGAUAACAGCUGGUUUUGAUGUGAUCAUAGUUGUCUCAAAAGCUCUGAUUACGACGGUUGAUAUAAGUGCUUGGCAAGAUAGUAUUUUGCCGUGUUGUCCCUUUGAACAGAAAUUGAAGGGACUUAUGGUGACUUCAUUGGAAUCGAUGAAAACAGCUGCAAAUACGAAGAGGGCGAAAAUCAUCUGUGUCCAAAUAAUGAGGAGAGCCAAAGACAGCGAUUGCAACCUGCAUGUCGUCAUUUUAGCUGAGAUCACACGGGAAGAUCUAUUCAGACAAGCAAAACACAAACUAAAUCAGGAUAGUUCAUUUGAUCAAGAAAGGGAUAUACAAAUAUUACUUUUUGCACAUUAUAACAAACCAUAUAUUAUUUAGCACUGCAUUUUAAUAUUGGCAUUUUGAUAAAAUUCGAUAUUAAAAAGCAAGAGUGGCCUACAAAAUAGACCUUUUACUACCUAAACAUACAAUAAUACUUUUCACUUUAAUGAUCACAGGGAGGGGGGACUAUCAACUAGGCUAUAUUUAAUUAGAUUUUAACUUACUGCGCAGAUGGACCACAGCGUUAACUGGAAAGGUCUGUUUAGUUUCACGAUGAUUAUAUCAGCUGUGAGUUGUUUACUUUGUGGAAGGUGUGACUGUCCCUUUCGGUUUGACCAUCGCCCUUUGCACUUGGCCAUCGAAUAAUUGAUUUAUAAUUUUUUUUAUCCAAGGGUUCAUUACCUUUUUUAGACAGCGAUAACAACCUGCAUCUCGUCAUCUUAGCUGUGAUCACACACACGGGAAGAUCUAUUAAGACAAGCAAAACAAAUAAAACCAGGAUAGCUUAUUUUAUCAAGAAAGUGCACAAAUAUCACUUUUUGUACAUCAUAACAAAACAUUGAUUGUUAAGCACUGUAUUUUGAUAUUGGCAUUUGGAUAAAAUUCGACAAUAAAAAGCAAGAGUAGACCUACAACAUUCACUUUUUACUCGACUUAAACAUACAACUCUGUAUUAC
Long non-coding RNA from Gadus chalcogrammus (walleye pollock), 2529 nucleotides. RefSeq lists it as uncharacterized. The record is from RefSeq and is a predicted model, not a curated record. NCBI's taxonomy places the organism in Eukaryota, Metazoa, Chordata, Actinopteri, Gadiformes, Gadidae. The transcript has 3 exons.